GACGAACGCUGGCGGCGUGCUUAACACAUGCAAGUCGAACGGAAAGGCCCUGCGUUUGUGGGGUGCUCGAGUGGCGAACGGGUGAGUAACACGUGAGUAACCUGCCCUUGACUUUGGGAUAACUUCAGGAAACUGGGGCUAAUACCGGAUAGGAGCUCCUGCUCCAUGGUGGGGGUUGGAAAGUUUCGGCGGUUGGGGAUGGACGAGCGGCUUAUCAGCUUGUUGGUGGGGUAGUGGCUGACCAAGGCUUUGACGGGUAGCCCGCCUGAGAGGGUGAACGGCCACAUUGGGACUGAGAUACGGCCCAGACUCCUACGGUAGGCAGCAGGGGGGAAUCUUGCCCAAUGGGCGGGAGCCUGAUGAAGCAACGCCGCGUGCGGGAUGACCGCCUUCGGGUUGUAAACCGCUUUCGCCUGUGACGAAGCGUGAGUGACGGUAAUGGGUAAAGAAGCACCGGCUAACUACGUG
RNAcentral lists this ribosomal RNA (468 nucleotides) under uncultured bacterium. Its description in RNAcentral is "partial 16S ribosomal RNA". It matches the Rfam family "Bacterial small subunit ribosomal RNA", at positions 28 to 507 of the family's 1533-position model. The record is from RNAcentral.